ACGCUGGCGGCGUGCUUAACACAUGCAAGUCGAACGGUAAGGCCCUUCGGGGUACACGAGUGGCGAACGGGUGAGUAACACGUGGGUGAUCUGCCCUGCUACUUUGGGAUAAGCCUGGGAAACUGGGUCUAAUACCGAAUAGGACCAUGGACUUCACGGUUUGUGGUGGAAAGCUUUUGCGGUGUGGGAUGGGCCCGCGGCCUAUCAGCUUGUUGGUGGGGUAAUGGCCUACCAAGGCGACGACGGGUAGCCGGCCUGAGAGGGUGACCGGCCACACUGGGACUGAGAUACGGCCCAGACUCCUACGGGAGGCAGCAGUGGGGAAUAUUGCACAAUGGGCGCAAGCCUGAUGCAGCGACGCCGCGUGAGGGAUGACGGCCUUCGGGUUGUAAACCUCUUUCAGCACAGACGAAGCGCAAGUGACGGUAUGUGCAGAAGAAGGACCGGCCAACUACGUG
This 458-nucleotide ribosomal RNA is filed under the name uncultured bacterium. RNAcentral describes it as "bacterial SSU rRNA". It matches the Rfam family "Bacterial small subunit ribosomal RNA", at positions 33 to 507 of the family's 1533-position model. The record is from RNAcentral.